Molecule: non-coding RNA, 24 nt
Filed under: Arabidopsis thaliana (thale cress)
Lineage: Eukaryota; Viridiplantae; Streptophyta; Magnoliopsida; Brassicales; Brassicaceae
Source: RNAcentral
UCCACCACCGGCAAAUGGCAAGUG